Molecule: long non-coding RNA, 267 nt
Filed under: Numida meleagris (helmeted guineafowl)
Lineage: Eukaryota; Metazoa; Chordata; Aves; Galliformes; Numididae
Description: lncRNA (ENSNMEG00000002848.1)
Source: RNAcentral
AAAAAAAUCAAUUUUAAGCUCACAUGCCCCAGUGGGUGCCAAAGCCACUUCAGAGAGGCUGAAAGAUGGCUGAGUCGACAGGAUUUGACUUCCAGAGGUAGAAAGCUGACCUUUCAUUUCAACAUACCUGCAGGAAUCUCUAGAAAGUCUGGGCCAGCUGUGUGCAAAACUACCUACUGGCAAAAGCAAUUUUGGAAAAGAGACAUAACGGGGAAGUGCUACUGGGAAAAAUGGAAGGCUUCAAGACUUUUUCCGAGAUACUUCUAG